RNAcentral lists this ribosomal RNA (497 nucleotides) under uncultured bacterium. Its description in RNAcentral is "partial 16S ribosomal RNA". It matches the Rfam family "Bacterial small subunit ribosomal RNA", at positions 28 to 507 of the family's 1533-position model. The record is from RNAcentral.
GAUGAACGCUGGCGGCGUGCCUAAUACAUGCAAGUCGAGCGAACAGAUGAGGAGCUUGCUCCUCUGACGUUAGCGGCGGACGGGUGAGUAACACGUGGAUAACCUACCUAUAAGACUGGGAUAACUUCGGGAAACCGGAGCUAAUACCGGAUAAUAUAUUGAACCGCAUGGUUCAAUAGUGAAAGACGGUUUUGCUGUCACUUAUAGAUGGAUCCGCGCCGCAUUAGCUAGUUGGUAAGGUAACGGCUUACCAAGGCAACGAUGCGUAGCCGACCUGAGAGGGUGAUCGGCCACACUGGAACUGAAACACGGUCCAGACUCCUACGGGAGGCAGCAGUAGGGAAUCUUCCGCAAUGGGCGAAAGCCUGACGGAGCAACGCCGCGUGAGUGAUGAAGGUCUUCGGAUCGUAAAACUCUGUUAUUAGGGAAGGACAAAUGUGUAAGUAACUAUGCACGUCUUGACGGUACCUAAUCAGAAAGCCACGGCUAACUACGUG